AUGGAUUCGCUCCUACCUGGUGUGGACGGAGAACUCGGUCGUUCCCCGUCGUCAGAUGUGCCAUCCCACAGGAGGUCGAGAUCAAUGGGACAUCAGAACUUCAUGAGUAUAGAGUUACACCAGAUAAAUGCGACGACCCCGGAGUUCACACUCCAGCUAUUAGACCAUAUUACAAAUCAUUUUUCUGAGGAGAGCAUAAUUGGCCGUGGUGGGUCUGGAGUAGUUUACAAGGGUGUAUUGGACAACGGUGAAGAGAUUGCCAUGAAGAAGCUUCAUCAAAUGCAUGGGCUUGACGAGAAGCAAUUUACAAACGAAUUCAACAAUCUUAUGAGAGCCAAACAUAAAAAUAUUAUACGGUUAGUUGGCUACUGCUACUAUCUAGGACAUGAACGUGUAGAGCACAAAGGAAAAUAUGUUUUUGCUCAUGUGCAAGAAAGACUGCUCUGUUACGAAUAUUUGCCAGGUGGAAGUCUAGAUGAGCAUCUUUCUGAUGAAUCAUGCGGACUUGCCUGGGACACACGUUACCAAAUAAUAAAAGGUGUCUGCGAGGGUUUAAAAUUCCUUCAUAAAGGAUCCGAAGACCCUAUUUGCCAUUUGGACUUAAAACCAGCGAAUAUAUUGCUGGACAAAGAUAUGAUACCCAAAAUUGCAGAUUUUGGUUUGUCCAGACUCUUCGCUUCAGCACAGACCCAUAUCACAACGCAAAUUAUUGGAACACUUGGAUACAUGCCUCCUGAAUUCAUAGAAAGGGGCAAAAUCACACUGAAAUUUGACAUAUUCAGUCUGGGUGUUAUAAUUAUAAAAAUAAUAGCUGGGCCUGAUGGUUACUCCAAAUUUGCAGAUAUGCCUUCCGAAGAAUUCAGUAAGCUGGUACACGAAAACUGGGCAAAGAGGUUGCAUGAAACGAUGCAGUCACUUACAUCGCAAGAAAUAAAGACAUGCAUAGACAUCGCAUCAAGAUGUGUGGAGAGGGAUGAAGAGAAAAGGCCAUGUAUAAGCGAGAUUAUCAAUGAAUUGAAUAAGAUUGACAAUGGCAUUAUUAACGAACCGGAUAAGAAUUAUAGUGACAUUGUGGAUGAACAAGACAAGCUUAAUGUUCACCUUGUCGAUGAAGUGGAUAAGAUUGAUGGAUACAUAGUUGAUGAACAGGGCAAGAUUGACCCGGACAUUGUCGACAAACAAGAUAAGCUUAGUACUGCCAAAACUUCAACUACGAACCUGAUACCCGCGGACAGACUGGACUCGCUUUUUACCCCACGAUGCGUGUGGGUGAAUGGCCCUAUCAUCAUCGGCGCCGGCCCAUCAGGGCUCGCGGUGGCGGCCAGCCUCCGAGAGCAUGCCGUGCCAUUCGUCAUGCUCGAGCGAGAGGACUGCAUCGCCUCACUAUGCCGAAAGCGCACCUACGAUAGUCUGAAGGUUAACCACCCUAAGCAGUUUUGCGAGCUCCCGGGAAUGCCACUCCCGGAUCACUUCCCAGAGUACCUCACCCGCGCCCACUUCAUGGACUACCUCCAGCAGUACACCACCAAGUUCAACAUCAAGCCGAAUUUCAACAACACCGUCCUGUCCGCGCGCUUCGACGAGACCUCUGGCUUGUGGCGCGUGUGUGCACGGGGCGCAGAAACGGACGGCAAUGCCAAGAUGGAGUACAUCAGCCGCUGGCUGGUCGUGGCGACCGGCGCUGAGGCAGUCGUCCCUGACAUCCCGGGGCUAGCCGGUUUCUGUGGAGAGGUCACCCAUUCCAGCGACUACAGCUCCGGCAUUUCCUACAUCGGCAAGCGCGUGCUCGUGGUGGGCUCCGGCCAGUCCGGCAUGGAGGUGUCCGUCGACCUGUGCAACGGCGGCGCGGUCCCGUUCAUGGUGGUCAGGAAUGUGCUCGGCAUUGCCACGUUAUACCUCACCGUACUGCUCAUGUGGUGGCUCCCGCUCUGGCUCGUGGACAAGAUCAUGGCCCUCCUCGCCUGGAUAGUAUUCGCCGACCUCACCAGGCUUGGCGUCCGGACGCCGUCCGUCAACUCGCUCACGCUCAAGAAGACUGACGACUAUGGACGCGCCUGGCGCGCGACGGCCAGAAAGAUCAGGUCGGGUGAGAUCACCGUUGUCACUAGUGUGAGGCGCUUCACCAAGUCCGGCGCCGAGCUGUCCGAUGACAGCGUCGUCGACGUCGACGCCGUCAUUCUGGCCACUGGCUACCGCAGCAAUGUGACCCAGUGGUUCCAGGGCAACAAUUUAUUUGACGAGAACGGUUGGCCCAAGACCUCGGUCCCCGAUGGCUGGAAGGGUCACUCCGGGCUCUACUCCGUCGGCUUCUCCCGCCGCGGUCUCUUGGGCGCCUCUGCUGAUGCCGUGUGUGUCGCAAAAGACCUUGGGCACACGUGCAAAGAGGAAACGAAGCCGACGAGGAAGAUGGGUGCUUGUCACCGUAGAGCAAUUUCUGCCAUAUUUUAG
This 2448-nucleotide ribosomal RNA is filed under the name Triticum aestivum (bread wheat). RNAcentral describes it as "partial small subunit ribosomal RNA". The record is from RNAcentral. Lineage: Eukaryota; Viridiplantae; Streptophyta; Magnoliopsida; Poales; Poaceae.